This is a long non-coding RNA of Esox lucius (northern pike), 10175 nucleotides long. The record is from Ensembl. NCBI's taxonomy places the organism in Eukaryota, Metazoa, Chordata, Actinopteri, Esociformes, Esocidae.
CAUUCUUUCACGACGAGCAAUGUGUAUAGGCUGGUUUAGUGGAUUACUGUAGCUGUAAGUUUGAUUUUCACAUCUUCACCAUAUAUGGUCUGCAAGUAUCUAGCUAAGUAAUGGACGAGCCACCGCCAGUCAAGAAUGUAGUGUAAGUAGCCCAAAGGUUCAUGGUAACAAUCUCAAUACAACAGCUUGGCAUUUUCCCCCUUCAGUUUAGGUGUUUUGAAUCAUCUAGAUAUAGCUAAAGUUUGUUCAAUAUUGGUUUGUGAUAUGUAUGAUCAUGGCAGGGAAGUGAUAAACAUGAACGAACAGGCAGGGAGGGAGAGAACGUGGUCACAAACCAACAGUUUAAUCAUUGAUUAGUGCCACACCAAGAUAGACUGUUGAUCUGUCAUCAGGUAAAUGUCAUUGAAUAGGAUCUCUGAUAAAAGGACAGCAUCCGAAUUUAAGGGUGUAAUAUUUGCUAUCUUGAAAUGUAUACAUUAGCUGUGUUUUUAUGGAAAUAUAUUGAACUGAUGCAUUCUUAAUGAUUAAUGUAUUGAGUCCCCGUGUUUAGAUAAGACAAAUAAUGUCGGUUGUGCUCUGGUAAAGGAAGUAUGAGGUGCUGAGGUAAACGUAAACCUAUUGCAGGAUGGGGGCAGAUGGAGAAAAAUGGGUCUUAGGAUAGAGGAAUAUUUGGUUAAUUUACAGUAUUUCUGAGGUCUAGAUUUGAGAUAAAAUCAGAGCUAAUGGGUGGAGGCGAGUUUCCGAGAAGGGUCCAGCUGCUGCCGCACACGCCCGUGACGGAGGUUGACUCUUCCAAAUAUGGAUCGUUAUAGAAGAGACUUCGCACAAAACGUGAGGACGUUUAUCUCGGCUGCUCGGUGGGUGUUGAUGCUGAAAAAGAAAAGAUGGCGCAAGGAGCUCGGGUGAGAAUGCCACAAUAUGGUUAAUGAACACUUAUUGUUUUAUGUAUAUUUAUUAUUAGGUUGUUGUAUGUAUUAACGAUUUGGCUGUUUCGCGCACUGUAAAUAGUGUUAAUUUUGUAGAUUAUUUUUCAUUUUAAUCAAUUAGGCUUGCUACCGGUAAUCCCGUGCUUUAGGUCACAAUCUAGCCUUAGCGUUAUCAUAAGAAGUAAGGCUAACGUCAAGAUACGUCAAGUAUAAACUGUUUUUUUUAUAACGCCAGACUAUAUAGUUCUAUUGGAAACCAUGUGGCUUUAUUCACCAACAUACAUUAACACGGAUAAAACACCUAAAUUAAUCGUGACAGAAAACCCUCCAUAGUAUGUGACCUCUGAUUCGGCCUGCUGCCGCCCCUGUCCCUAUUUCUUUCUGAUAUUCAGUUCCACCAUUUCAUUAUUAGUUGAGUGUUAUUUUUGGUAUUGCAGUAGCUUUUAUAUUAGGGACCAGGAGAAUAGGUAAACUGUUGCAGAGUCCUGUAAGGACUUUGUGGCGCACCACUAGCUCAAUGUAUGGACACGAAUUGGGAAUAACCAUGUGAUGUGAAACCUCCUGCAACCUCUCCCUUUGAACUGAUACCCUUAUUUAGGGCCUGACUAACUCUGUGUGUAUGCGUGUGUAUGCGUGUGUAUGCGUGUGUCUGUGUGUGUCUGUGUAUGUCUGUGUGUGGCUGUGUCUGCAGUACUGUCAUCUACAUAUUCAAAUCCAGAUUAUAAAGCAGAGGAACCAAAGGUUGUUCUUAAUACUCUGUAUAGUUCUAAGAAUUGAUACGGUUUGCUUAGUUUAGUUUGAUAUUUAACUUAGCUAAAUGAUUUAUACCUGUGUGACAUAUUGCAACCCAUCCCUGUACCCAUCCCGUGUAUCAAGAUGUCUUUGAUUGUCUCUGUCUCUUCUAUACCUGCAUGUACUCAUCAUCCUUAUAUGAGGUAAGAAUAAGGCUAAAUAAUGUAUCACACCUUUAUUACUUCAGACAGAAAUAUGCAGUUUUUCCUGUGCUACAUGAGCAUGUGAGGUACCCCAUCGUACAAUUUGGAAGAAUAAAGUGCAUUUGCCCAAUAAACAUAAAAAUAUGGACUGAGGGGAUUAUGGACCGAAGUGUAUUAUGGGUUAUCCCAUUUGGGGUACAAUUGGGCAGUAAAACAUGUACAUUUGCCCAGCAAACCUCCAAAUUUGGACUCUGUGGAGUUUGGAUGGAAGUGUAUUAUGGAUAAUCCCAUUGGUCGUGCAAUUGGGCAGUAAAACAUGUACAUUUGACUAGCAAACAUCAAAAUUCUGACUCUGUUGGGUUUGGACCGAAGGUGCCAUUGGGUGUAUACAUUUGUGGUAAAACUGAACAUUUGCUGUGUAAAGCACAGUCACCUGCCCAGGACUUGCUGCCUGACUGGAAAACCGCUGACUGCAGAGCGGUGGAGCUCGGGGAGCCCCUAGAGCAUUUUCUGUGAAUUGCAGUUUGGCAGGAGGUCUGUACGGGAAGCCAGUAAUACUGGGCAUUUGGUGACAAAUUGGGAAGUAAAACCCUUUGAGUGAGUAUUGCGUCAAUGUACAAUGUUGGCCCAUUCAUUUUAUCCAAAAACUAGUAUUUUCCCUUCUCUUUCCAUACCUCUGUGAGUCAGCAUUCUCAACUUUGACUGCAAUGUAGACUAAGCACAGAGCUCGUUUGCAUGUGGAGAACAAUCUGAGUCUGCCAGUCAUCCAUCCCUCCAAGAGUGGAUGAACUGUGUGGUGAGAGAAUGGCAGAGCCAUCUCAUUAAGAAUGAAAUCAUUAAGUGAGUUACUGUGAACUGUGUGAGAUAAGAAUGUGACGUAUAGCCCUAAUGUACAAACUCUUCUAAAGUAAUAGGUUUAAUUACUAUGAUGUGUUCUGUAACACUGUUGAUAACUUAUUUUAUGAUUUGUUCAGAGCUUUUAGAAUUCAAAUAUUUCCAAUGGCAUCUAAGACUAAACAUUUUAGUAAGCACAUGCUUAAUCGGUAUUAAAAUCAUUAGGGGGUCCUUGAAAAAUGUUGUCCCCUGUAAGGGGUCCCUGGUCCAAAAAAGUUUGAGAACCCCUGAUGUAAUAAGUGCAACAAGUCUUUUAGAUUCCUUAUUUAAGCAGGAGUCUCCUACAACACAAUCGACCACUCAUCCUUGAGAUCCUUUCCACACAACAUUCCGUGUUUCGACAGUUACCCAAUUUGCUAACAUGGGUUGGAUCAAACAGCCGUAGUUGUGAAAUGUUGUGGCUCCGCCCCCUCUAGACUCUCAGAUCUAGAAUCUUGUCCUUCUGUCAGUGACCGAGCUGGGUAAGUGAUCUAAUCCCAAGUCUGGCGUGUAAAAACCGUUACAUUACUGCCUGCGAGGCAUCGAGAGGUGCGUAGCUGGCUCAACCCUUACACCGUAUACUACAGUGCGUUUAGUGUUGUGUAAAGACUGGUUGAAUUAUAACGCAAUAGCCUACUUUAUAGUUCCACUGGAAACCGAGUGGCUUUAUUAAUCGAUAUAAAGCAAGAUGGGGGAUAAAACACCGACAUUCAUCGUGACAGAAAACCCUCCGUGGUAUGUGACCUCUGAUUCCAAAUGUUUAUAGCUGUGAAAGCGAACAAGGACUGUUUGAUAACGUCGUCAACUUGUUGUGCAAACAAGAGGGACUAUCUGAAAGAGAGAAAAGCGGAAAAACAUCUAAAAGACUAUCAGGAGCCUUCGCGUUCGUUGUUGCUUGCGCUGAUGGACUAAUUGGACAUUGAAGGUGGAGACGACUUUGAGUCUAUGGCGAGUGUGGACAAGGCUGGUCUCAAACAUAUUCCAGUGGUUACGCAGGACUCUGAAAAACAACCUCGUCUAUUACGACAGCAGCAGGUCCACGAUCGGAACAUAUAGCAAGCCGUUUUAACAUGUAUUCGCUAGACUGGAUAUUUCUUACACAUGAAUGCAACAUAAUUUCGCCAAGUCAGAACUGCAAGAUAUCUAUAACGUCAUUAUGACUAGUCAAAACGACAAUUGAAGAUAUCUGUAAUUCUGUUUUGACUAGUCAGUUUUAAAUUACUAUUGCCAUUCAUGUCUAUGAGGUUUCUCAUUACAGAUAUCUUUAAAUGAAGUUGCAGAUAUCCGAAAUGUCUAUUGUUGAUAUAUUCAAACCAAUUAUGACUAUAGUAAUUACAGUUCCAGAUAUCUAUAAUUUAAUUCUGACCAGUCACGAUUCCAGUUCAAGAUAUCUUAAAUCCCCCUAAAUUUAAGAUAUAUAGAUCAUUAUUUUGCAAUAUCUUAAAUAAUGUUGUAAUUAGUCAUAAAUCAGUUGUAAAUAUCUUGAACUGGAAUUCUAACUAGUAUUAAUUAAAUUGAAGAUAUCUGAAACUGGAAUUACAGCCAGUCAUAAUGUAAUUGUAGAAAUCUAUUAUCAAGUUAUAGAUAUCUUUGAAUAUUUUUCAAAUUGGAGAUAUAUUUUACUUUCAUUCUGCCAAGUCAAAAUGUAAUUACAGAUAUCUGUAGUUACAUGUAGGAGUCAGGAGCGGGAGUAAGUGGCUUGCUUGUAUUCAAACAUAUGUAACUACUCUUCCACCGUAUGGCAAGCAUUAACCGCCAUGUCAGACCUGCGUGAAGCCGAAGUUCUAGUUUUUGAUAAAAUAUUUAUGGUUGCAGCCAGUGCACGACAGGCGCUUUUAGCAGGAAAUACAGGAGAUUUACUUUCUUUCAAAAGUCGAUAAAAAAAAAAUUUUUUUUACUAUCCACAACUGAAACUGCCAUUGCUGCUAACACCGAAAAGCGUUGCUGGGCCAAUAUGAUCUGAUGCCUCGCAUGAGAAACGUCAUGCAAAACAAUUCGAAAUAGUCAUAAGGACAUUUGAGAUAUCUACAACUAUAAUUUUGACUAGUCCAAACAAAAUUCUGCAAUUACCAUUUGGGAUGUAUGAAAGUCGAGUGUCGUUUUCAGUGAGGUCACUUCUGAUAUUUGUAAUUCAGUUUUGACUAGUCAAAAUAAAAUUACAGACAUCUUUAACUGUGUUUUGACUAGUCAGAAGAACGUUACGUAUAUCUUGAAUCAAAAUUUAGACUAGUCACAAUGUAAUUACGUCUAGUCAGUAUUACGGUGUUAAUAUCUGUCAUGUUAAUUUCAUAUAGUCAAGUCUAGCGAAUACAUUUUAAAAUGGCUUGCUAUUGGAACAAACACUUGUUAUCCCGACAACCGGAAAGAUUGAGCUGUGGGUGGAUAAAUGAGCCGUGUUUGGAUUGAUGAGCCGUGUGUGGAUAGAUGAGCCGUGUGUGGGUAGAUGAGCCAUGUGUGGGUAGAUGAGCCGUGUGUGGGUAGAUGAGCCGUGUGUGGGUAGAUGAGCCGUGUGUGGGUAUAUGAGCCGUGGUUGGACAUCCAACCAGUGUUGAGUUUACUGUUCAACGUUCUCUUAUCCAACCAAUGGUAAAUUAUCUAAUUCCAAGUCUGUCUUAUAAAAGCCCUUACACCAGCCACAUCGACGUUACAUCAUGCGAGGCUUCGAGAGGUGAGCGACUGCCUCAACCCAUAAACCGUAGACCACAGUGCAAGAGGGACUAUUUGAAACAUCUACAAGACAAUCAGUAGUAUGGGAAUCCGGGACGCUGACAUUAUAGAGCAAAACCCUUCAUGUUCGUUGUUGUUAGCGCUGAACCUAGAGCACAUUAAAGGUAGAAACAAACACGUUCUAGCCUAUCCAGUUGCUGAGCACCGAGGACAAAACCUCGUCUACUGAGAACAACAGUCACGCGCUGGUCUCCGAUGUAAAGGAUACACCCCAUGUGCUAGGCACGGCUUCGGCCGACAUUUUGAAUAAAAAACGUAAGGCCAGCGUGGAUUGUUUCACCGGAAACCAAAAUUACAUAUAGAGAAAACCCCUCGAAAAGAAGUCAAAGGACAAAAAAAGAUUAGAUUGAAACAGAUGAUGAAACUGUUAACUCUGUGAUGUAGGGAUAUUUUCAUGAAAUGUUAUUUCACAUUAACCUGAUGAGUAGACGAAACAUCUCAUGUGAUCACUUGUAUAUUCAUUGAGAGUUAAUUGAUGAAACAUUAAACCAGGGCUCAUAUUAUUAUCCCAAACAGUCUGUUUGUCUUUGAUUUUUCCACAUUUAAUUGUUAAGAGACCGAUGAACUACACUCUUGCUCUGGCUCCACUACCCAUGGUCAGUUCAAUGAGUGUUUGUUAUCUCAUAUUAAGGACAGAAGGACCUGUGGCUUGUCCUUGACUCUCUUGGGAAAAUGAGUGAGCUCAUAGAUCAAAGAAUCCUUGACUUAGGGAAUAUGCUGAGUAAUGAUGAGUAGUGGCUUGGUGAGCGAAUCCCAGAUUGUUGUGAAACAUUGAUGGAAGAAACAGAAAUGAGCUUAAUGAGGGGUCUGCAGAGCAAGGCAAAGUUAAUGUUUGAUUAAGUAACAACUGAAACAAGAUUGGGGUUCAAUGGAGUUAGCUAAUUCAAUACUCUCUGCUGUCGUUUGGAUUCUAACUUUGUGUUGUGCGAGAUUCCAUCUUUGUUUCUCACAAUUUAGGAGUCCUGAAUCACUGAUACACAUAAAACAGAGAGUCCAAGGAGAGGUGGGUGACAGACCCUCCCACAUACAUCAGAGAGUCCAAGGAGAGGUAAGUGACAGACUGUGAAAUACUUCAGAGAGUCUUAGGGGAGGUGGGUGACAGACUCACAUACAAAAGAGAGUACAAGGAGUGGUGGGUGACAGACUUUGCCACAUAUAAAAGAGAGUGGCUUUAUUCAUCAAUAUAUAACUACAUGGAGGAUGCAGCACUGAAAUUAAUUGUAACAUAAAACCCUCCGCCCCAGUCCCUGCCAUCGCCCUUCUUAUUGCUCCACAGCCAGCCCCUGCUCCGCGUACCGCCGCCGCGCAAGACCCUGCUCCGCGUACCGCCGCCGCGCAAGACCCUGCUCCGCGUACCGCCGCCGCGCAAGACCCUGCUCCGCGUACCGCCCCGCAAGACCCUGCUCCGCCCCUGCUCCGUGUACCGCCGCCCCGCAAGACCCUGCUCCGCCCCUGCUCCGCGUACCGCCGCCGCGCAAGACCCUGCUCCGCGUACCGCCGCCGCGCAAGACCCUGCUCCGCGUACCGCCGCCCCUAAAGACCCUGCUCCGCGUACCGCCGCCCCGCAAGACCCUGCUCCGCGUACCGCCGCCGCGCAAGACCCUGCUCCGCCCUUGCUCCGCGUACCGCCGGCGCGCAAGACCCUGCUCCGCGUAGCGCCGCCGCGCAAGACCCUGCUCCGCGUAGCGCCGCCGCGCAAAACCCUGCUCCGCGUACCGCCGCCGCGCAAGACCCUGCUCCGCGUACCGCCGCCCCGCAAGACCCUGCUCCGCGUACCGCCGCCCCGCAAGACCCUGCUCCGCCCCUGCUCCGCGUAGCGCCGCCGCGCAAGACCCUGCUCCGCGUAGCGCCGCCGCGCAAGACCCUGCUCCGUGUACCGCCUCCCAGCAAGACCCUGCUCCGCGUAGCGCCGCCCAGCAAGACCCUGCUCCGCGUACCGCCGCCCAGCAAGACCAAGAUCCACGGCCUAGAGUACAAUGAGUUUAUUGUUUACAGCCUGGAAGAUUUAUAACGCAAGACUUUACAGUUCCACUGGUAACCAAGUGGCUUCAUUCAUCAAUAUCCAACAACAUGGAGGAUACAACACUGAAAUCUUUGUGGCAGAUCAAACAAUCCUUGACUUAGAGAAAAUGCUGAGUAAUGAUGAGUAGUGGCUUGGGGAGCGAAUCCCAGAUUGUUGUGAAACAUUGAUGGAAGAGACAGAAAUGAGCUUUAUGAGGGGUCUGCAGAGCAAGGCAAAGUUAAAACUAGUAAAAAAGGGAGAGAGGAAGACGUAUAUGUUUGAUUAAGUAACAACUGAAACAAGAUUGGGGUUCAAUGGAGUUAGCUAAUACAAUACUCUCUGCUGUAGUUUAGAUUCUAACUUUGUGUUGUGCGAGAUUCCAUCUUUGUUUCUUACAAUUUAGGAGUCCUGAAUCACUGAUACACCUUGUCCAAUGAAGGGGUACCUCACACCUGUGGUCCAGAUCAUUCCAGGGCCAAACCCAGCCCAGACCUAUGAGAGAGUCCCUUGGGUUCAGAGUAAGAUUAUUGGACACUGAUGGUUCCAGAUUCACCACAGCAAAGGAGAGGUGGGUGACAGACUCACAUACAACAGAGAGACCAAGGAGAGACAACAGAGAGUCCAAGGAGAGGUGGGUGACAGACUGUGACAUGUACAACAGAGUCCAAGGAGAGGUGGGUGAAUGACUGACAUACAACAGAGUCCAAGGAGAGGUGGGUGAAAGACUGACAUACAACAGAGAGUCCAAGGAGAGGUGAGUGACAGACUGUGACAUACAUCAGAGAGUGCAAGGAGACUUGGGUAACAGACUCUGCCACAUAAAACAGAGUCCAAGGAGUGGUGGGUGACAGACCCUCCUACAUACAACAGAGAGUCCAAGGAGGGAUGGGUGACAGACCCUCCCACAUACAACAGAGUCCAAGGAGGGAUGGGUGACAGACCCUCCCACAUACAACAGAGUCCAAGGAGGGAUGGGUGACAGACCCUCCCACAUACAACAGAGAGUCCAAGGAGGGAUGGGUGACAGACCCUCCCACAUACAACAGAGUGUUUUAGGGGAGGUGGGUGACAGACCCUGCCACAUAUAAAAGAGAGUGGCUUUAUUCAUCAAUAUACAACAACAUGGAGGAUACAACAUGGAAAUUCAUUGUGACAUUAAACCCUCUGCCCUAGUCCCUGCCACCGCCCUUCUUGUUGCUCCACAGCCAGCCCCUGCUCCGCGUACUGCCGCGGCGCGAGACCCUGCUCCGCGUAACGCCGCCGCGCGGUAUCCAAGUGGCUUUAUUCAUCAAUAUACAACAACUUGGAGGAUACAACACUGAAAUCUUUCUGACAGAUCAAAGAAUCCUUGACUUAGAGAAUAUGCUGAGUAAUGAUGAGUAGUGGCUUGGGGAGCGAAUCCCAGGUUGUUGUGAAACAUUGAUGGAAGAGACAGAAAUGAGCUUAAUGAGAGGUCUGCAGAGCAAGGCAAAGUUAAAAAAAGUAAACAAGGGAGAGAGGAAGACAUAUAUGUUUGAUUAAGAAACAACUGAAACAAGAUUGGGGUUCAAUGGAGUUAGCUAAUACAAUACUCUCUGCUGUAGUUUGGAUUCUAACUUUGUGUUGUGCGAGAUUCCAUCUUUCUCACAUUUUAGGAGUCCUGAAUCACUAGGAGGGAUGGGUGACAGACCCUCCCAUAUACUUCAGAGAGUCCAAGGAGAGCGUCACAGUGCAUUUCCCUGUUGAUGCCGAGCGUCAAUUGACUUCAAUGGGGCUUCUUAAAACUCGCCCACGGACUCUCAUCGUCUCUGGGGGUGAAUUAUGAGUGGGCUGGCCCUGAUUCCAGGCUUCCGCAUGAUUGGAGGAUCUGACGAUCUGUCAAACUGCAUUCCUUUUGACUGACAGCGGUCUACUAUAAGGUGUCACUGAAGCUGUUUAGCGCUCAGUCCCACCGCGGAUUUCUCAAGCGUAUUCGAAAGACGUCUGCAAUAUUUAUUCAUAUUUGUUUGGCGAAAUUGCUAGCUGAUUUGCAUCAUACAUUUCACACAAUUAUCUGCUGCACCACGUGAUCCUUGUUUCAGUUUUACAAAGUUUUUUUUUUUUAUCAGUCAUUCAUAUUCAAUAGUAGGCUAGGCUAGCGUUGUACGCGGGUGAAACUGCGCACGAUGGCAGACAGUGCUAAUAUUGUCCUGAUUUUAGCGAGGCCAUUUGGAAGUCUUCCUUACGAGGAACAUUUUUUAAUUAAACAGCAGGUAAGAUCAACUCCUAAGAUUGAUCUUUUCAGCUCUCCUGGUAUGACAAAGUUAUUUGGCUGACUGGAAGUGCUGUGACAAAUAAAAUGUACUGCUGGCCAAAAAUAAAUUGGUAACCCUACGACACAUUGAAAAUGUGUACACACACACACGUAGUGUUAUCACGUUUUGGGGGGACUUUCCAUAGACACAAUGAUUUUUGUACUGUACAAACUGUAUAUUCCUAUCUCUUACACUGACCCUACCCAUCACAGAAAACCUGCAUUUUUACAUUUUCUAAUAACAUCACUUAGUAUGAUUUUUAAGCUGUUUUCCUCAUGGGGACUCAAACAUUUCCCCACACGAAGAAGGAUUUCAGAUAUUGCCAUCCUUGUGGGAACAUAUUGUCCCCAUAUUGUAGGGUUUACCAGGCCACACACAUACACACACUGGCUCUAUAGCCAUCUAGUGGUUAAACAGAAUUUUAAACAGAAUUUCCCCC